ACCUUUCUAGUGCUCUAGAUAAAGAUCUUUUUGAUUGGAGCGAAUCUUCUGUGGAUUGCCAGUCCGCUCCUUUUUACUUACCCUAGCUGUAUGCUUCCCAAACGGACUUCUGAGACAGGUCUCCACUCUGUACCGUAAACUGGUUUGCAGUCCCAGCCACUUUGACAGGAGAGAGGCAUUACAGUAUCAUUAAGUGAAAGUGAGCGAAUCCAACUGCUGACCAGCAUGAAGAAUCAUCUCUAAUGCACACCCUUUUUUGGAAUCAAAGCACAAGACUGUCCACCCAAAUUAGAAAGUGUGAAACCAAGCAUCUUCCCCACAUCAGCUCUCUGAAACUCCUUCAGAAUUCCAAAGCCUUCAACCAUGUCAGCGACAGCCGUCUGCCCUCCAGAGAAGCCAGCACCAGCCUGCUCAGUGGACAUUGCUGAACAAAAAGAUGGCUGCUACAGGUCACAUGAUUCACAAGUUGGCUACAGAUUCUGGAAAUUUCCAACAGCAGUUACAGAGUAAAAGCUCAAUCUUCAUCCUUGUGAGGAUACAUCACAAUCAAUAAAACCUGGGACCAGCAGAGGAUCUGCCUCCCCAGCCUAGUCCUAUGACAAAGGGAGAGCCAUCAAAACUCUUACACCUGCAGACGUGCUAAAAGCCAUCAACUAUGUUGUAAGGCGAACAAUGGAUAAUUUUGACUAGAAGCUCCUGGCCUUUGGAAAAUUUUAAUAUUACAUUUCUAGUCUCACAACUCAGUCUGCUGUUUAAACUCCAGCCUGCAAACAUCACUGUAGGACUCCAGGCGGACCAAAAGUCUGCAUCAACUCGAAGCCUCCUCAGAGCCCGUUUCUCUAGAAGAUUCCUGCCAUCCCCUGGCAAGUAUACCAACCUCAUCUCACUGCGUCACUAUCAACUUCAAAGAAAUUCUGCAAAUCCUGCUUUAGCUAGCUGAAACCACCUGAACGAUAGCUUCCCCGUGAAGGAGCAUUCACUGGACUCUGACUUUCUGAACUCUGGCAAUUGCGUGAACUGAUAGCCACAUCUGUGGUGCUUCUUUCUUUUAAAUUAUUCUUAGUUGUAAA
Long non-coding RNA from Carcharodon carcharias (great white shark), 1070 nucleotides. RefSeq lists it as uncharacterized. The transcript has 3 exons. The record is from RefSeq and is a predicted model, not a curated record. NCBI's taxonomy places the organism in Eukaryota, Metazoa, Chordata, Chondrichthyes, Lamniformes, Lamnidae.